GGAUAAGGGGAAUCUAACUAUUUAAUUAAAACAAAGCAUUGCGAUGGUCCCUGCUAAUGCUGACGCAAUGUGAUUUCUACCCAGUGCUCUAAAUGUCAAAGUGAAGAAAUUCAAACAAGCAUGGGUGUUAGUGUUGAAAUCGUAACGCCAACUACCGGCCUGGGAGAUGCAGUUCUCCUGAGAAGCAGGUCCGAAAUAAUAUAUAAUGGAUACAUGGGCGUGCC
This 224-nucleotide non-coding RNA is filed under the name Dichanthelium oligosanthes. RNAcentral describes it as "Eukaryotic large subunit ribosomal RNA". It matches the Rfam family "Eukaryotic large subunit ribosomal RNA", at positions 2121 to 2315 of the family's 3401-position model. The record is from Rfam by way of RNAcentral. Lineage: Eukaryota; Viridiplantae; Streptophyta; Magnoliopsida; Poales; Poaceae.